UACGGAGGGGGCUAGCGUUGUUCGGAAUUACUGGGCGUAAAGCGCGCGUAGGCGGACCUGCAAGUCGGGGGUGAAAGCCCGAGGCUCAACCUCGGAACUGCCUUCGAUACUGCGGGUCUCGAGUCCGGGAGAGGUGAGUGGAAUUCCUAGUGUAGAGGUGAAAUUCGUAGAUAUUAGGAAGAACACCAGUGGCGAAGGACGGCUGCACUG
RNAcentral lists this ribosomal RNA (210 nucleotides) under uncultured bacterium. RNAcentral's name for it is "partial 16S ribosomal RNA". It matches the Rfam family "Bacterial small subunit ribosomal RNA", at positions 524 to 731 of the family's 1533-position model. The record is from RNAcentral.